This 465-nucleotide ribosomal RNA is filed under the name Vreelandella stevensii. RNAcentral's name for it is "partial 16S ribosomal RNA". It matches the Rfam family "Bacterial small subunit ribosomal RNA", at positions 338 to 795 of the family's 1533-position model. The record is from RNAcentral. Lineage: Bacteria; Pseudomonadati; Pseudomonadota; Gammaproteobacteria; Oceanospirillales; Halomonadaceae.
CCUACGGGGGGCAGCAGUGGGGAAUAUUGGACAAUGGGGGCAACCCUGAUCCAGCCAUGCCGCGUGUGUGAAGAAGGCCCUCGGGUUGUAAAGCACUUUCAGUGAGGAAGAACGCCUGGUGGUUAAUACCCAUCAGGAAAGACAUCACUCACAGAAGAAGCACCGGCUAACUCCGUGCCAGCAGCCGCGGUAAUACGGAGGGUGCGAGCGUUAAUCGGAAUUACUGGGCGUAAAGCGCGCGUAGGUGGCUUGAUAAGCCGGUUGUGAAAGCCCCGGGCUCAACCUGGGAACGGCAUCCGGAACUGUCAAGCUAGAGUGCAGGAGAGGAAGGUGGAAUUGCCGGUGUAGCGGUGAAAUGCGUAGAGAUCGGGAGGAAUACCAGUGGCGAAGGCGGCCUUCUGGACUGACACUGACACUGAGGUGCGAAAGCGUGGGUAGCAAACAGGAUUAGAUACCCUUGUAGUC